AUAUAAGCGUUGAUGAAGAGGAGUAUAUAUUAUGAACAUGUCAGAGAGCUGAUGGAUGGUGCAAAUCAGUAUGGAAUGGACUUCGGAGCUUCCAAACCGAACCGAAAGAAGUAGGCUUUGGCGACAUGAUCUCAUCGAUAUAAGAGACACGUAUUAUGUUUGAUACGGUUAAGUAUGUUACAAUUGUAACGAAUGAAGGUGGUACCACGGGAGUACCCGUCCUUUUU
Molecule: non-coding RNA, 227 nt
Filed under: Bacillus cereus
Lineage: Bacteria; Bacillati; Bacillota; Bacilli; Caryophanales; Bacillaceae
Description: T-box sequence
Rfam family: T-box leader
About the family: Uncharged tRNA acts as the effector for transcription antitermination of genes in the T-box leader family. T-boxes are found upstream of many aminoacyl-tRNA synthetase genes and some amino acid biosynthetic genes usually in Gram-positive bacteria.
Source: RNAcentral